CAGUGUGGAGCUGAUAGCACAUGUGCUGGGUACUGAGUGAUGUCAUACAAGGAGGGCAGAGAUUCUGUCCCUGACUUAAGGAAUUUAUCGGAGAGAGCAAGGGAGAGACAAGUUCUAACCUAAGUCAGAAUGUUUUUGUGAAAAUGCCAUGGAAACACAGAAGAAAAAAGAGAAUCCUGAUGAGGGGAAUUCAUCAAGGAGCUGAAGCAGUAAAACAGGUGGAGCUGGAAGGAACAGCAUACAAUUGGCCUGUAACACCAGGUGAACUGGAGAUGUAAUGACUUCCUUUUUUGUUUGGGAGGAUUCCUAAAUGUCAUUGAGAGACCCAAGACGUCUCAAUCUCUCUUAAUGCAAACGGGAAGCCAAGGGUUUUUAAAGGUGAAAUGGAUCUUGCUAAUGAAGAGAUAUCACUCUUGGUGGAGCACGCAGCUUGUUAGUUCGAGUUAGGUGAGUGUCAUGGGUUAGGGUUCAAGCAAAUGCAGGGUGUGACUAAAGAUGUCAUCUUUUAUUUAUCGAGCUUUUAAUAAACAUAAUUGAGUGGUUGGGCA
This 548-nucleotide long non-coding RNA is filed under the name Oryctolagus cuniculus (rabbit). Its description in RNAcentral is "lncRNA (ENSOCUG00000039531.1)". Lineage: Eukaryota; Metazoa; Chordata; Mammalia; Lagomorpha; Leporidae. The record is from RNAcentral.